This 800-nucleotide ribosomal RNA is filed under the name uncultured Bacillota bacterium. Its description in RNAcentral is "bacterial SSU rRNA". It matches the Rfam family "Bacterial small subunit ribosomal RNA", at positions 66 to 873 of the family's 1533-position model. Lineage: Bacteria; Bacillati; Bacillota. The record is from RNAcentral.
ACGAUUAAAGCUCUCUUCGGAGAGUGCAUAGAGUGGCGCACGGGUGAGUAACACGUAAGUAAUCUACCUUCGAGUGGGGAAUAACAGUCGGAAACGACUGCUAAUACCGCAUAAUGCAGCGGCAUCGUAAGAUGACAGUUGUUAAAGGAGCAAUUCGCUUGAAGAGGAGCUUGCGGCAGAUUAGCUUGUUGGUAAGGUAAUGGCUUACCAAGGCUACGAUCUGUAUCCGGUCUAAGAGGACGGUCGGACACACUGACACUGAAUAACGGGUCAGACUCCUACGGGAGGCAGCAGUCGGGAAUUUUGGGCAAUGGGGGAAACCCUGACCCAGCAACGCCGCGUGAAGGAUGAAGUUUUUCGGAAUGUAAACUUCGAAAGAAUAGGAAGAAUAAAUGACGGUACUAUUUAUAAGGUCCGGCUAACUACGUGCCAGCAGCCGCGGUAAUACGUAGGGACCAAGCGUUGUUCGGAUUUACUGGGCGUAAAGGGCGCGUAGGCGGCGUGGUAAGUCACUUGUGAAAUCUCUGAGCUCAACUCAGAACGGCCAAGUGAUGCUGCUGUGCUAGAGUGCAGAAGGGGCAAUCAGAAUUCUUGGUGUAGCGGUGAAAUGCGUAGAUAUCAAGAGGAAUACCUGAGGCGAAGACGGGUUGCUAGGCUGACACUGACGCUGAGUGCGCGAAAGCCAGGGGAGCAAACGGGAUUAGAUACCCCGGUAGUCCUGGCCCUAAACGAUGAAUACUUGGUGUCUGGAGUUAUUAGUGCUCCGGGUGCCCGUCGCUAACGUUUUUUAGUAUUCCGCC